GUUUUACUCAUUUGGUAAAUAUUUAUAUUUACUGGUAUUUUCUGUAUUGCUGCAGGGCAAUUUGUGUUGGUGGAGGGGCUUCAUUAAAAUGUGAGUUGACUGGAAUUCAGUAUGAGUUAAAGGUGAAUUUUAAAUUUAGACAAAGCUGAAAAAAAUCAUGAAGACCUUUUUUGCAAUUUGUUAACUUGGUCUAAAAUUUUAAAUUGAAUUUAAAUCGACUUCGAAUUUGUGACAAUUGACACUUUGUGGACCCUGGACUAAAUAUCAGUAUUGACGUAGAGUGCCUGCUUUUUGUUUUGUUUUUAGAGUGGCAAUGCCUUUUGUUUUGCCAUCAACUCCUUAUAUUCCCUGCCACCCUAUGCAGUGCUGGGCAAGAUGGGAGUUACCGCUCCCAGAAUUAGAAACAAACUAAAAAAAUGUCGCUCUAAAGCACUGACACAAAUCCAUAACUUUGUUUAUCUUUAUUUGUAUUACUUUAGUCGCUAAUGCCAUUACAAAAGGGUCUAUAGAACAGUGUGUGCCAAAAUGUUACAUUGUAAAUGGGGAUAUUUAAAAUUGCCACCUGCUUCCCAGUGCCGGUUCUAAUGGCCUGUGGUAUGUACUUCUAUUGAUAAGAGUAGAUAAGUGAUUAGGAUAAAGGACCAUGGAUAAGAGCAGAUUAUGAAUAGAAAAUCCAUUUUUGUUUGUACAUUUCUAAGAGCUUAAAGGGCAACUAAAAAGUAUUUUUGUCCAUACUCUAUUUUUCUGUUUGCUGCUACACAAUCAUAUGAACCGGGUCACAUGUUUAUGUGAAACAAUUGAAGAAAUAUAAUGCAGACUGUAUUCAAAAAGAAAGUAAAAGAAAGAAGGGUGGGAUCAGGGGGAACUCCAUAAAGAGCUACACCCAGGGUCAGGCGUAGUCUAUGGGAGUGUCGCAGUGAAUAGGCAUCAAUGGAACCUAUAAUUUGGAGAAUUGCUUUAAAGUUUCAAAUGUUCUCCAUAUGAAGUACAUAUAAUACAGAGACAUCGAUUCACACUGUUUGAUCUGGUCAUCCUCAAGUUGGACGCAAUCACCCAACACAACGGCUUUUUUAAAAAAAACUCUGUGUUGGAGGACCUUUCUAAAAGGGCCGAGGGCACAUUAACAUUAAAAAUCCCUUUUUAAUGUUAAUGUGCCCCUAGGCCCGUUUAGAUUAUAGUACCGCCCCUUAUAAACUAAAACAAUAAAGUUAAAUUCACUUUUAAUUCGGCGGCAUCCCAGUCUCACUGCAAUCACCACUUCUCCUAAUGCAAAGAUCAUCCACAUAGAUAAUUUUGGUCAACCAAAUACUUCUCCAUAGAGAAGCAUUGAUGACCCUGCUGUGCAUGUGUUGCAAUUAACUCUCUGCACCAAUAUGAUUUUCUUAAUAGAGAAAUAUUACAGCGAGACUUCGCUGCAAAUGUGAGGACUGUAUUUUUUUUGCCUCUAGCAAUGCCUCAAGCACCUGUCUGAUUGACAGGCUGACAAAUAAAAACAUUGCUAUUUUUUAUAAACAGCAAUUAUUGUAUAGAUUAUGACCCUACAGUCUCACUGCUCAAUUUUCUGCCAUUUAGGAGUUAAUUCACUUUGUUUAUACAGCCCUAGUCACACGCACCCUGCAUGUGACUUACACAGCUUUUAUAAUCACUUCCUGGAUAGAGAGAUUGAAUGUUUAAAUCUCUCUUAUUGCAUAUUCUGUUUAAUUUAGAAUUAAAGAUAUUAAAGUGGCAUGCUUAUCUUUCCCUAAUCGAUUCUUCUUUUCUUCCUGUCUCCCAAUCAUUUCUUCUUUUCUUCCUUUGUUUUUUUAUUUUUCUGAAAAUAUAUAAGGCACGGUAGGGACUACUUUGCCUUAUAUAUUUCUCCUACGCUUAACAAAACUUUCACUUACUCAAAGGAAAUCUUGCUAGCAUACUUAUGUUCCUGUUGCCUCCCUCGGCUUCUUGCUUGCGAGGCUCGUCUGUCAUGCACAUGUCCAGUAAAAUCUCUGUGAGUCUCGAACUUGGGCAUGCCCAACUAACAGUAGUGAUAUUUUAGUUGCCAUUGACAAUGUUAAUUCCUCAUCCUAUACCAGCAUUACCCAUCAGAAAGUGCUACUGAACGUGCAAAUAUGGUCGUGGUCCAUAAUAGGAGGCUUAUUAAAACACAUUUUUACUUCUUCUCAUUGCCCUGUCGUGGUUUCCCUGAGUAGGUUAUACGAGAGUGUGUUCCUGAGCGUUUAUUACUGGUUUCUGACUUUGGCUUCGUUUUAACUUCCCUGUAUUCUGGUAUCCUUGACUUCUGGCUUUCCCUCACCGUUGUGUCUCCUUCUGUAUCCCUGACCUCGGCAAGUAUUCUGACUAUUUUCUGGUAUGUUAAGUCCGGCCAUUCUAAAGCCCGGUAAGACGUUACCUUUAGUCCUAUUAUCCUUUUAUCAAAGGGUUCUCUUCUGUGAUAGCCCCCAUCACCAAUAUGAUACGUAAGGAGGCUAGUUGUAUGAUAUGGUCUAAGGAAGCUAGAGAAGCUUUUGAACUUCUUAAAAAAUUGUUUGCUUCAGCUGAAAUUUUGGUACAUCCUGACACUAACAAAACCUUCAUACUGGAAGUUGAUGCCUCCGAAACUCUGUAAGGGGUUGUUCUUUCUCAGGGAGAGAGUCAGGAUACCCCUUUACAUCCAUGUGGUAUUUCUCUAGAAAGUGGUCUCCAGCAGAGCGUAAUUAUGAUAUUGGUAACAGAGAAUUGUUGGCCAUUAUACUAGCGCUUAAAGAAUGGCGACAUCUUUUAGAGGGUUCCAAGGACCCCCUAUUGAUCAUAACUUACCACAAAAAUGUGACAUAUAUCGGUGAUGCUAAACGACGAUCUUCUAGACAGGCUAGAUGAGAUGGUCUUUGUUCUUAUCUUGCUUUAACUUACAGACCUGGUCCCAAAAACUUUAAAGCUGACGCCUUAUCUAGAUGGUGUAACGAGAAUAUACCCCAACACGCAGGAUUCAGCAAAACAAAAGACAACACAGAGGAGAGAUACGUCUACCGGACCUUAGAAUGGCCGGACUCGACGUAUAUGAGAGGAGACAGAGUCAGGAACGAUCCGAAAUCAAGGGCACAGAGAGACAGCGUAAACUGGGACAAGCCGGGGUCUGGUACACAGUAAACAGCAAGCCGACAACCAGAACAGAAGGAUAAAGAGAAAACGUAGUCAGAAACAAAGCCAAGGUCAAUAUGGUCAAUAUUAAGGUAUAAUAAGGGAGCAGCGCCUUGGUGAAGUAUAAUAGGUAAGGUAUAAUUAGGGAGCAGUGCCUUGGUAAAGUAUAAGAAUUCAGGUAUAGUUAGGGAGCAGCGCCUUGGUGAAGUAUAAUAAUUAAGGUAAACUUAGGGAGCAGCGCCUUGGUGAAGUAUAAUAAUUAAGGUAUAAUUAGGGAGCAGCGCCAUGGUGAAGUAUAUUAAUUAAGGUAUAAUUAGGGAGCAGCGCCUUGGUGAAGUAUAAUAGGUAAGGUAUAAUUAGGGAGCAGCGCCUUGGUGAAGUGAUUGAUUGAAGUCGGCUAUUUUAACCCGAUGUGUACUGUAAAAUAUUCUGCAUGUUUAUGUGUACUUAAUAAAAUAAAGUACAGUUGAGCAAAUGCAUAGCAAAAGUGCGACAACUUCUGUUAAUGCAGCACUUAACAACCCAUGUAGUAAACUAGUUAAAUACCUUAUCUGCGAUUUAUAACAAUCUGGUGGGUCAAUUCACAACUGCAAACUUUCCCAGGGAAUUUCUCUGACUUUUUUCCCUUUUAGGUGUAAGAAAAACAAAUUCCCUUGCAGGCCAGAAGAUAAUGCGCAAACAAGGGUGUGCAUUCAGACCUUUGUAUUGUCGUUACUGUUCUGUAAAGACCUCAAACAACCUUUGUUUACUGCUUUAUGAUACAGCGUUUUUUCCAAGAAAGAUUGUAUAGACUAUAUAUGAAAGGCUGCAAAAUAGCAGUUGCCCUAACAUACAACUUCUUCGGUGUCUAAACAGCCCACUUGAGUUAUAACAAUUGAGUGAUGGUGGGAGUUACUCCAAGCCUGACCAUGAAACCUGCUUUGCUUGUAUAUCCUCUUUUAGUGGUGGCUUGUUGGAGGGAGCAACAGAGUGGUUGCCUUGACUCUAGACUUUAAUCAUAAUUAGAGUAUUGGGAUUCUGUGCCAGUGAUAUUACUGUAUAGGCAACAGAUAAUUGUUAAGUUCAGCCAAUUGUAGGCCUAUUUAUUCUCGUAUUAGCACCAAAAUAUUCCUUACUAAGCCUCUUCCAUCAAUUUAUAUCCUGUUCAAUUUUGGUUCUUUUUUGGGGGGUUCACAAAUGUGUCACAAUGUAUAUAAAAAAGAAGCAAAAGAGUGCGCCUUUUUUAUUUAUUUUUUUAGACAAGUUUGCUUCCACUGUCAUAGUUGUAGAUUUUCUGAAAUUAUCUUCUUUUUCAUUUAAGAGAUAAAAAAAAAAAAAAAAAAGCUUACAGCCUAGGUAAAUCAUUGUGGGGAGCAGAUAAGGCACCGGAUCCCGAUUGGACUGGUUAUGGUUGCUACUCCCCCUCCUGGCCUACUACUUCAGUUUAACCCAGAACUCUGUGCAUAUAGUCUCGUAGACCUGGCUGAAGGCUGUCUCCCAAGAGCCAUUUUGGGCACAGCAACAGGAAAUUGGUAGCCAUCUCAGCAAUUUGUCGUUGUGCUGGCUAACUUAGCUUAGAUAGGGGGGCGGAGCCAAGCAGCACAUGGAGACGGUCGCAAAUCAGACCGGCUCCGAUCAACUAAGCUAAUAAACCCACAAUAUUGGCGAAUAAAUCAGCCACACACGGACAAUAGUCGCGGAGCUACACGCACGAGGGCCCAUCGAACCCGCAGAUGCCCGUCUUGUUCCCGGCGACCACUAAAACCUGGCGCCGAGGAUCUCGGGCCUACCACGCGGGCAGCCGGCGGCUGGAGUGGAACGGCAGCCUCGGGGCCACUCUCGACCUCCUCACCAAUAACAUCCUGGGCGACCCCUCCGACGACACAAUGGGCCGAAAAAACCCGCGGCAAAGCCAAACACCAGCCAGAAAGGGUCAAGAUAUCGGGCAAAUGCUCAGCUCAGCGCCACGAGCAAAAGAAAUGGCGCCCUCGCGGCCUGCAGCCCAACCUACUCUCAUGGAGGAAAAUACGCCAGAACUGGGGUCCCUUUUGUCAGGGGACAGAGAAGCCCCAUCCACAAAAGGAGACAUAUACAAUUUAUUCCUCUAUAUGCAGAGGCUCUUCACAACGGACAUCACAGCAGUGAAGACAGAGGUACAGCAGGUAACUGCUAGACUAUACACCACAGAGGCAGACAUCACCUCAUUGAAACAGGGCAUAGACAACCUUGGGGACACAGUACAACAUCUUCACUCCUCUUAUACACACUUAUCGAGCCGAAUGGAACAAUUAGAAGACAGAAGCAGGAGUAAAAAUAUCAAAAUACGGGGGGUCGCUGACACGCUCCCCCCCGAGGAGCUCCCACAUUUUGUCAGGCGACUGAUCGCCUUCCUACUAACGACACGAUCGGCCAAGCAAUUCUCCUUUGAAGGAGUUUACCGCAUCGCUAAGUCUCCCCAAGCGCCCACCACCUCAACCAGAGACAUCAUCUUAUGUUGCCAGUCUCAUGCAGAUAAGCAAAGGAUCCUCACAGCUCUGAAGGGGAAAACGCCAUUACAAUUUGAAUCAUUUUCACUCACCUUUUUCCAAGACCUCUGCAGAGCCACGCUACUAUGGAGGAAAUCCAUGCAACCAAUCACCAAGGCCCUUCAAAGCGUGGGACUGGCAUACCGUUGGACCCAUCCCAGAACCCUCACAGUGACUAAAAAUGGGAAACAAUUCAAAGCUUCUAGUCCUUCUGAGUGUACAGCCUUCCUACAGGCACUGGAGCUGCCAGCAACGCAAGACACGCCGACAACAUCAGCUGAAUGGGAUGUGAGCAACAUCACCCCUUUCACACCCAGGACCAGACGGGACACUGACACUCCUGAGACAUCUCACUCAAUCCAAUAACUUUGGGCCAAAAGCGGACUUAUGAAAGUACACGCCGGUUGCGAUUUUAACAGAGACUUAGUAAGCUGCACAGUGAAUUCCUAAACUCCAGAGACUGAAUGAACAUCCUCUCAUAUGCAAACCAUGAACUUAAGCCACUUAAUGUUAACUGUUAUCUAAUCACUGUUACACCCGAAGUUUAAGCAUUGUACCUUUCCUUCCCUACACCAAGGGUACAGGAACACCUGACUGCAUACAUAUUACUGGCCACUGUUAGAAGAACACCAGAGCCCCAGUCAGCCACUCAGGCUCCCGUUCAGUAUGCCGCCAAGACCCAUAGGAUCUCCACUAUCCUUCCUCCCUCCCCCCCCGUUACCCCAUAGGUUAGAGGGCACGGCAGAUAGGUCAGGAGCUACAGAACAGCGCCAGUACGAUGUUAACACCAAACCACACUGACCUGAAGAUCGCCCACACAUAGUUAAUCCGCAGAAAAGGUAACAGAGAAAUUCCAAUAGACGAGCCCUAGACACAAAUAGGCACACGACAACCACUACAUCCCUGUGCCACCAAGGACAACACAUAAUGCAACAGAUGAGAACUCGGCCACAAAUGUAGUCAAGAACCACAAACACUUCAACCUAACCUAGGGAACACACACCUACUGGAAUGACUAGACCUUAAUCCUCACCUUACAGUGCAGGCACAUAAUUGCAAAUAUCCAUUGUGAGCUAUAUUGUCACUUCAAUUUUACUGUCAUGGUAUUGUAAACCUAAAUCUGUCAAUAUGCACGGCAAAAAUAAAGAAUUUAAAAACUUAGCUUAGAUAAUAUCCUCUGGAAGAUGAGUAGAGGGAUGCCCCAGGAUGCACCUGAAAAACCUAUCUAGUCCAAAAGAGGGGGAAAACUGGCUGCGGUGCGGGAACCCAACCAUGCUGUUUUGCUGUCAUGCAAGGGAGCCGGCCACCUUCCCUGCACACAUUGACUCUCCGAACUAGGCCACAAUUUCAGGAAUCGCUCCAAAAGGGUCAAUACCUGGUAAAAGGCUCAAAUUCUGCACCAGCACAACUUGCUAUAUUAUAUCCCAGCUAGGCGAUUACAUUCUAGCAGUUUAAUGACUAACAAGCCAAAAGGACAAGAAACUUUGAGGAGCUAUAGUGCUAAGCAUCCUUCCAGCACCACAAAUGCGACAAUGUUUAUACAUAACUCCCAUUGUACCUUGAUUCUCAUUUACCAGAAAUUAUUUAACACCUCUUACUGCAGCUCACUUGAAUGUUCCAGUCGUGAGUUCUUCGACUUCUCCUUGUGUUUUUUAAAUGAACUCACUCUGCACCUACACAUCCUGUUUAAUGGGCCGAAGUCCAGAGCCAACAAGCAGGAGAACUACAGUAUCAAUAGACUAAAGAGAAAUAUGAUUAAAAGCAUGUACUGCAAUCUGAAUAUAAAUUCUGCUACAAAAAAUCCUUGGCACGUCCUCAAUAUGAAUGACAAGAUGCUUGCAGGUUUGGUUUGAGUGGGUAGAUCUUCAUAGACUUGGAAUGAGUGGGCAAAUGGUAAUGGUGAAUAGAUCGUCUUGGCAUAUGUUAAGCAUCCUGAAGCUGCUACUUUGAUCCCUCUGUAAUGGUUUCCAGGAUAGACAAACAUGUCAUACGUGUAAAUCUUACUAGAAGUUUUAAAGAAUAAUAAUGGUUAUUCAGUAAUCUGUAAAUUAUAGGGAAGGUAGUGACAGGGGAAUUUUAAAUUGUAGUCAAAAAAGGAAAAAAAUCUUUAUCUCAUUUAUUUUUCCAGCUUGACUAUUUUGUCCUAUAAGUUCAAGUAAAAGGAUGGUUUAGUAAAUAAGCUUUUACAUUUUUAUCUGUUUUGCGUGGCUGAAGAAUGGAAGGAAUGUGGUGAUAUAAAUACAUUGGUACACAAUAAACAAAAUAUACAUAAAGGCAAGAGUGUUCACAUUUAGAAUUUUCUUUGCUCACUGUACUUACACUGAAUGCUUCGUGUUUACACAACCUUCACUAUAGAGUCAAAGUAAGAAAAACAUUUCCAAAACCAUGUAAAAAUACUUUUUUUUUUUUUGUAGAUUUAUUUUUAUGGAGUGGAGUCAUCUGGCAAUCCGUAUACAGAAUGACAGAAGUUUCUCAAUUUAAUUUGAUCACCUCUACUCUUCUUCCCCUGUCAGAAUGUUGCAAAGUGAAGAGAUCUUCCAACUGCACAUGUGUAAAUCCGUCACGCCCAAUGAACUUUUCCAGUAUUCCUAGGGAUAGGACAUUGAUUGGUUAGAUCACUGUAUUUCCUUUAUUGGUUGUGGAAAGCAUACGAAAUAAGAACAGGUAGUUGUUGUAAAGGGAGGCAGC
This is a non-coding RNA of Pelobates cultripes (western spadefoot toad), 8306 nucleotides long. Lineage: Eukaryota; Metazoa; Chordata; Amphibia; Anura; Pelobatidae. The record is from the annotation of a GenBank genome assembly.